Molecule: ribosomal RNA, 1534 nt
Filed under: Bacteroides sp. NSJ-48
Lineage: Bacteria; Pseudomonadati; Bacteroidota; Bacteroidia; Bacteroidales; Bacteroidaceae
Description: bacterial SSU rRNA
Rfam family: Bacterial small subunit ribosomal RNA
Source: RNAcentral
CUUUUACAAUGAAGAGUUUGAUCCUGGCUCAGGAUGAACGCUAGCUACAGGCUUAACACAUGCAAGUCGAGGGGCAGCAUCAUCAAAGCUUGCUUUGAUGGAUGGCGACCGGCGCACGGGUGAGUAACACGUAUCCAACCUGCCGACAACACUGGGAUAGCCUUUCGAAAGAAAGAUUAAUACCGGAUGGCAUAGUUUUCCCGCAUGGGUUGACUAUUAAAGAAUUUCGGUUGUCGAUGGGGAUGCGUUCCAUUAGGCAGUUGGCGGGGUAACGGCCCACCAAACCUACGAUGGAUAGGGGUUCUGAGAGGAAGGUCCCCCACAUUGGAACUGAGACACGGUCCAAACUCCUACGGGAGGCAGCAGUGAGGAAUAUUGGUCAAUGGACGAGAGUCUGAACCAGCCAAGUAGCGUGAAGGAUGACUGCCCUAUGGGUUGUAAACUUCUUUUAUACGGGAAUAAAGUGAGCCACGUGUGGCUUUUUGUAUGUACCGUAUGAAUAAGGAUCGGCUAACUCCGUGCCAGCAGCCGCGGUAAUACGGAGGAUCCGAGCGUUAUCCGGAUUUAUUGGGUUUAAAGGGAGCGUAGGCGGGUUGUUAAGUCAGUUGUGAAAGUUUGCGGCUCAACCGUAAAAUUGCAGUUGAUACUGGCGACCUUGAGUGCAACAGAGGUAGGCGGAAUUCGUGGUGUAGCGGUGAAAUGCUUAGAUAUCACGAAGAACUCCGAUUGCGAAGGCAGCUUACUGGAUUGUAACUGACGCUGAUGCUCGAAAGUGUGGGUAUCAAACAGGAUUAGAUACCCUGGUAGUCCACACAGUAAACGAUGAAUACUCGCUGUUGGCGAUAUACAGUCAGCGGCCAAGCGAAAGCAUUAAGUAUUCCACCUGGGGAGUACGCCGGCAACGGUGAAACUCAAAGGAAUUGACGGGGGCCCGCACAAGCGGAGGAACAUGUGGUUUAAUUCGAUGAUACGCGAGGAACCUUACCCGGGCUUAAAUUGCAACUGACGGAACCGGAAACGGUUCUUUCUUCGGACAGUUGUGAAGGUGCUGCAUGGUUGUCGUCAGCUCGUGCCGUGAGGUGUCGGCUUAAGUGCCAUAACGAGCGCAACCCUUAUCGAUAGUUACUAGCAGGUCAUGCUGAGGACUCUAUUGAGACUGCCGUCGUAAGAUGUGAGGAAGGUGGGGAUGACGUCAAAUCAGCACGGCCCUUACGUCCGGGGCUACACACGUGUUACAAUGGGGGGUACAGAAGGCAGCUACACGGCGACGUGGUGCUAAUCCCAAAAGCCUCUCUCAGUUCGGAUUGGAGUCUGCAACCCGACUCCAUGAAGCUGGAUUCGCUAGUAAUCGCGCAUCAGCCACGGCGCGGUGAAUACGUUCCCGGGCCUUGUACACACCGCCCGUCAAGCCAUGAAAGCCGGGGGUACCUGAAGUACGUAACCGCGAGGAGCGUCCUAGGGUAAAACUGGUGAUUGGGGCUAAGUCGUAACAAGGUAGCCGUACCGGAAGGUGCGGCUGGAACACCUCCUUUCU